Molecule: ribosomal RNA, 507 nt
Filed under: uncultured bacterium
Lineage: Bacteria
Description: partial 16S ribosomal RNA
Rfam family: Bacterial small subunit ribosomal RNA
Source: RNAcentral
AUUGAACGCUGGCGGCAGGCCUAACACAUGCAAGUCGAGCGGCAGCGGAAGGAAGCUUGCUUUCUUGCCGGCGAGCGGCGGACGGGUGAGUAAGGUAUGGGGAUCUGGCCGAAGGCGGGGGAUAACCACUGGAAACGGUGGCUAAUACCGCAUAAUCUCUAAGGAGCAAAGUGGGGGACCGUUCAGGCCUCACACCUUCGGAUGAACCCAUAUGAGAUUAGCUAGUAGGUGGGGUAAUGGCUCACCUAGGGGACGAUCUCUAGCUGGUCUGAGAGGAUGAUCAGCCACACUGGGACUGAGACACGGCCCAGACUCCUACGGGAGGCAGCAGUGGGGAAUAUUGCACAAUGGGCGAAAGCCUGAUGCAGCCAUGCCGCGUGUAUGAAGAAGGCCUUCGGGUUGUAAAGUACUUUCAGUCGUGAGGAAGGUGUUAAGGUUAAUAACCUUAGCAAUUGACGUUAGCGACAGAAGAAGCACCGGCUAACUCCGUGCCAGCCGCCGCCGUAA